UACGUAGGGGGCAAGCGUUGUCCGGAUUUACUGGGCGUAAAGAGCUUGUAGGCGGUUUGUCGCGUCUGCCGUGAAAAUCCGGGGCUCAACCCCGGACUUGCGGUGGGUACGGGCAGACUAGAGUGUGGUAGGGGAGACUGGAAUUCCUGGUGUAGCGGUGAAAUGCGCAGAUAUCAGGAGGAACACCGAUGGCGAAGGCAGGUCUCUGGGCCACUACUGACGCUGAGAAGCGAAAGCGUGGGGAGCGAACAGG
This 253-nucleotide ribosomal RNA is filed under the name uncultured bacterium. Its description in RNAcentral is "partial 16S ribosomal RNA". It matches the Rfam family "Bacterial small subunit ribosomal RNA", at positions 524 to 776 of the family's 1533-position model. The record is from RNAcentral.